Molecule: ribosomal RNA, 433 nt
Filed under: uncultured bacterium
Lineage: Bacteria
Description: partial 16S ribosomal RNA
Rfam family: Bacterial small subunit ribosomal RNA
Source: RNAcentral
AACGAACGCUGGCGGCAUGCCUAACACAUGCAAGUCGAACGAGACCUUCGGGUCUAGUGGCGCACGGGUGCGUAACGCGUGGGAACCUGCCCUUAGGUUCGGAAUAACUCCCCGAAAGGGGUGCUAAUAUCGGAUAAUGUCUUCGGACCAAAGAUUUAUCGCGUUUGGAUGGGCCCGCGUUGGAUUAGUUAGUUGGUAGGGUAAAAGCCUACCAAGGCGAGGAUCCAUAGCUGGUCUGAGAGGAUGAUCAGCCACACUGGGACUGAGACACGGCCCAGACUCCUACGGGAGGCAGCAGUGGGGGAUAUUGGACAAUGGGCGGAAGCCUGAUCCAGCAAUGCCGCGUGAGUGAUGAAGGCCUUAGGGUUGUAAAGCUCUUUUACCCGGGAUGAUAAUGACAGUACCGGGAGAAUAAGCUCCGGCUAACUCCGUG